GGCAGGAUGGCCGAGUUGGUUAUGGCGCCAGGUUAAGGUUUACCUUAAUAUUAAGCUCCUGGUUCGGGAAACUGAGCGUGGGUUCAAGUCCCACUCCUGUCA
This 102-nucleotide transfer RNA is filed under the name Sphaerosporella brunnea. It matches the Rfam family "tRNA". Rfam says of the family: Transfer RNA (tRNA) molecules are approximately 80 nucleotides in length. Their secondary structure includes four short double-helical elements and three loops (D, anti-codon, and T loops). The record is from Rfam by way of RNAcentral. Lineage: Eukaryota; Fungi; Ascomycota; Pezizomycetes; Pezizales; Pyronemataceae.